Molecule: unclassified non-coding RNA, 333 nt
Filed under: soil metagenome
Description: partial contains 5.8S ribosomal RNA, internal transcribed spacer 2, and large subunit ribosomal RNA
Rfam family: 5.8S ribosomal RNA (bases 1-120)
Source: RNAcentral
GAUGAAGAACGUAGCGAAACGCGAUAAGUAGUGUGAAUUGCAGAAUUCAGUGAAUCAUCGAAUCUUUGAACGCACAUUGCGCCCCUUGGUAUUCCAUGGGGCAUGCCUGUUCGAGCGUCAUUUGUACCUUCAAGCUUUGCUUGGUGUUGGGUGUUUGUCCAUUCUCUUGCAGAGGGACUCGCCUUAAAGUAAUUGGCAGCCAGUGUUUUGGUUUUGAAGCGCAGCACAAGUCGCGAUUCAAAGCUAUACGCCCGCUACCACAAGCCUUUUUCACUUUUGACCUCGGAUCAGGUAGGGAUACCCGCUGAACUUAAGCAUAUCAAUAAGCGGAGG